AAUUUAUAGAGAAUAGGUAAGAGAGUAGGCUCUGCGAUCCUAUGGCAACCUGAAGAGUUUCAUAAACUGACAAGGUGCUUCAACCUACCCAAGAUCAAAGGGAAUUAUAAAUU
RNAcentral lists this non-coding RNA (113 nucleotides) under Fulvivirga imtechensis. RNAcentral describes it as "SAM-I sequence". It matches the Rfam family "SAM riboswitch aptamer (S box leader)". From Rfam's summary of the family: The SAM riboswitch is found upstream of a number of genes which code for proteins involved in methionine or cysteine biosynthesis in Gram-positive bacteria. The SAM riboswitch acts at the level of transcription termination control. The predicted structure consists of a complex stem-loop region followed by a single stem loop terminator region. Lineage: Bacteria; Pseudomonadati; Bacteroidota; Cytophagia; Cytophagales; Fulvivirgaceae. RNAcentral also lists the same sequence under 1 other name. The record is from RNAcentral.